This 1155-nucleotide long non-coding RNA is filed under the name Oncorhynchus kisutch (coho salmon). Its description in RNAcentral is "lncRNA (ENSOKIG00005048149.1)". Lineage: Eukaryota; Metazoa; Chordata; Actinopteri; Salmoniformes; Salmonidae. The record is from RNAcentral.
AUGCAGCUAUGCUGCAGUCUCUCUGGCAUUCUCUCUCUCUCACGCUUUCCCAUUUACUGCUUUCCUUAUUUCUUUAUUUCCUUUCUUCCUUCCUUCUUUCCUUCCUUCUUUCUUUCCUUCUUUCCUUCUUUCUUUCCUUCUUUCCUUACUUCUUUCUUUCCUUCUUUCCUUCCUUCUUUCCUUAAUUCUUUCCUUCCUUCUUUCUUUCUUUCCUUCCUUCCUUCCUUCCUUCCUUCCUUCCUUCCUUCCUUCCUUCCUUCCUUCCUUCCUUCCUUCCUUCCUUCCUUCCUUCCUUCUUUCCUUCUUUCCUUCUUUCCUUCCUUCUUUCCUUCCUUCUUUCUUUCCUUCUUUCUUUCCUUCUUUCCUUACUUCCUUCUUUCUUUCCUUCUUUCCUUCCUUCUUUCUUUCCUUCUUUCCUUCCUUCUUUCUUUCCUUCUUUCCUUACUUCUUUCCUUACUUCCUUCCUUCCUUCUUUCUUUCCUUCUUUCCUUCCUUCUUUCCUUCUUUCUUUCCUUCUUUCCUUCCUUCUUUCCUUCCUUCUUUCUUUCCUUCUUUCUUUCCUUCUUUCCUUACUUCCUUCUUUCCUUCCUUCUUUCUUUCCUUUCUUCCUUCCUUCUUUCCUUCCUUCUUUCUUUCCUUCCUUCUUUCUUUCCUUCUUUCCUUACUUCUUUCUUUCCUUCUUUCCUUCCUUCUUUCCUUAAUUCUUUCCUUCCUUCUUUCUUUCUUUCCUUCCUUCCUUCCUUCCUUCCUUCCUUCCUUCCUUCCUUCCUUCCUUCUUUCUUUCUUUCCUUCUUUCCUUCCUUCUUUCCUUCUUUCCUUCUUUCCUUCCUUCUUUCUUUCCUUCUUUCUUUCCUUCUUUCCUUACUUCCUUCUUUCUUUCCUUCUUUCUUUCCUUCUUUCCUUACUUCCUUCUUUCUUUCCUUCUUUCCUUCCUUCUUUCCUUACUUCUUUCCUUACUUCCUUCCUUCCUUCUUUCUUUCCUUCUUUCCUUCCUUCUUUCCUUCCUUCUUUCUUUCCUUCUUUCCUUCCUUCUUUCCUUCCUUCUUUCUUUCCUUCUUUCUUUCCUUCUUUCCUUACUUCCUUCUUUCCUUCCUUCUUUCUUUCCUUCUUUCUUUCCUUCUUUCCUUACUUCCUUCCUUCUUUCCAUCUGCUUAA